Pollicipes pollicipes is the source of this 858-nucleotide long non-coding RNA. RefSeq lists it as uncharacterized. The transcript is spliced from 3 exons. NCBI's taxonomy places the organism in Eukaryota, Metazoa, Arthropoda, Thecostraca, Pollicipedomorpha, Pollicipedidae. The record is from RefSeq and is a predicted model, not a curated record.
CGUGCUGAGAACAGAUCGAUUCAGUAUUGAGUUGCAUUGGUUUGGUUAUGAUCAAGGAAGUGUUGCUUUGAGCACAAUCGAUUCUAAUUUCAUUAUGCUGGCGGGUUGUUUUCCAGUGGGCGUUAGUGAUGUGUCUUGGCGCCACAGCUUUCGAAUGAACAAAUGAAUAUUGUGCUAACGUAAACCCAUCACUAUAGUUAAAUAAUAGCUGACAUAUCACGGAAAGAUUGUCCUGUCGCUUUGCUUGUUCGCCUUGGAGAGCGUGGAAACGUGCAUAUUCUAGUCUCUUCAUUCAAACUGGCUAUGUGCUUUAAACUUCUGAAAUUAGCGUAGUACAUGCGCUUGAGAUUUCAACUCCUUUGAAACAGAACCGUCGGCAGUGAAGAAUCUCAGUCUAUGAAGAUGGUAGCGCAGUCGACAAACGAAAACGACACCAUGCAGGAGAACGCCCCUCGCUUCAGCUCUCCGAGCUCGAGCUUUCCACAACCUUCGGACCAGCAGCGGAGACGAACGCUGGGCAAAUGCGAGCCCUACAAACCUGACCCUGUCGGCGCAAGGCCUGUCGCUACUUUUGUCAGAUUCUUGCCAACAUCAUCCUUUGAUCACGAAUGCAUCAAGGUGGACACGGAAGCCAACACGGUGGGCAUAGAAUGCGGCGCGGCCACUGGCAAACUUCUUUGCUCGAAGAACCCUCCUCGAUCUCGAAUGAUGUCUUUGAACCAGAAGUUCUUGUCCUUCGGUGCAAAUAGUGUGUUCCUGAACGCAAGUCAGGAGGACUUCUUUAACAACGUCAUGCAAGAUAUGGUGGACAAAUCGCUGGAUGGCUACAGUGGAACUAUCAUCGCCUGUGGAUCGGUG